GCAAUGUGGUGAUCAAUUUAAUUGCUUACUGAGAAAAAUAUCUUAACAUUCUAUCCAACAACAUUUUAUUUGGUAUACAGUCGACGUUAAACAAAAACUAUUGAUUGUCGUCCCUAUACAUCAUGUCGUCCAUACAAUUCAUAAAAACUUGCAAGUUGUAUACCUACUAAUUUUGAGAUGCUCUUUCCAGUCGUUUAUUUUAUAUCUUUGUCUUUGUUUUAACAAUUGGUUCCAGUCUUUUAAGAUGGUAGUUUUUUCGGAAUAUGUCUUUAUUUUUGUGUUUUUUGGAAGAUGUUCACUGGCCGAGAUUUAAUUACCAUUUCACCGUAUCGUUUGUCUUCAGUGAAGCCGCUGUACGACAUGGAAGUGGUUAGUUCGCCCGUCUCCCUGGGAGAAAAUACAUGUGAAAUCCAUCGGCUAUGAAAU
This is a non-coding RNA of Paramuricea clavata, 426 nucleotides long. The record is from the annotation of a GenBank genome assembly. NCBI's taxonomy places the organism in Eukaryota, Metazoa, Cnidaria, Anthozoa, Malacalcyonacea, Plexauridae.